Molecule: long non-coding RNA, 455 nt
Filed under: Anser brachyrhynchus (Pink-footed goose)
Lineage: Eukaryota; Metazoa; Chordata; Aves; Anseriformes; Anatidae
Description: lncRNA (ENSABRG00000012042.1)
Source: RNAcentral
GUACAGAAAGCCAUCCAACAAGGACCCCAGCCUGCUCCUCUAGAAGCUUUUCUGGCUGGCAUCCCUCCCGGGUAGAUGGAGCACUUGCUUGUGCAUGGGGCAAGACCUGGGAAUUGGGUCUGGGCUGGAGAUGUUGGUACUCAGCUGGAAACGGGUGCCCCGGUCCCUGGAGAGGAGCCUGAAUUUGGAGACCUAGUGCUCAGGACCUGGGCUGGAAAAGGCUUGGGAGACCUAGAUGUGAUUCCUGCCUCUUCAAAGUGAAUUUGGAGGCCCUGGAAGAACGCAGGCUACCUUGCAAAGUCCAUCCUGUGACUGAAAAAAAACCAUUCCUUGCCAUUCAAAUCAGAAUGUGCCACGCACAGCACUUCCCCAGGGGGUACAGCCAGCAGACGCGUUGGCAAGCUCCUGCAGACCACAUUUGGCAAAAUAAAUGCUCGCAAAACCAAUAAUAACCA